AUCACAUGAAAUACGUUCUGAGGAAACUAUUUUGCAAAUCGCAAUUACGUUACAUGCCAACAUAUAAGCAGUGCUAUUACGUUGGUCCUUAACCUAAUAUAAGCAGUGCUGUUACGUUGGUCCUUAACCUAAUAUAGCCAAUUUAUUGCAGUGCUAUUACGUUUGUCCUGAACAUAUACAUCCAAAGCAUAGAUUAAAUCGUACUAUACCAUACGAUACUGUUCAUCGCAUUCAAGAAGCGUGACCCGUAGCCAGAAAAAAACCUCUGGGUGUGCAUCAUAAAAUCUGUGUGUGUCACAGGCAAGAAAACCAGAAACGCUGAGGAAUUCAGGUGCUGUAAAUCCGGUGGACAGGACUCAUCUCCUUAUAGAUCAAGAUAAUUUAUAACAGAUAGUUGACAUGGUAAGCAAGUUAAUAUUUUUUAAUAAAAAACGAAAUAAGACGAAUAGCAUACAUUAUUGUUGUUGCGGUGUGUCACGUGACAAUCAUGACCGUCGCCAUGGACACAAGGGGUCGGAUAUUUAGAGUUAAAUAUUUUUAACUUACGCGUGAAAUGGUUGAUUUUAAAAAUAUAUAUAUUUUAAGUAAACAACAACAGCCCAGGUUUAGUAAACAUUUUUUUAUUGAAACUAUAAAUAAAUAUUCUGCAUCCAUUUUAGGUGUGCCACUGUGGGUGGCUCCCGCACACCCGUGGCUACGCCCCUGCCGUGACCCAAAUCUCGUUCGCACAUCAUCGCGAUGUUUAUCAUCUAUUUACAAACGUAGCCAGUCGCCACAUCUUUUUUCUUCACAUACAUCUCAUACUCAAACUACACACUCCACAACAUUUAAACCAAUGGCUCUUUUAAGAGCCAUCACCUGCAAAAGCUCUCCUACUCAGGCACGCACUCACUCUCCAACUCACACACAUGGCACCUGGAUCCAGAACACGCCAUAGUGCUUGCUACAAAGAAAUUGGCAGUGCCUCCAAAAAGAGGCAUUAUUAGCCUAUCCCCUGUAUGUCAUUGAUGCGCUACUUCAAAGAUGUGAGGAAAAGAACAUACACCUGCGAGUAGUCUGUUUGUUACUUUGCCUGUGUUAUUGCCUCACAUUUGCAGAAAUCAGGUGAGGGCAUAUCACACAACAUUGCCUUGGCCGUACCAGCAUUUCAUGUUUAUGGACACAAAUUGCCCUGCCAGAUCAAGUACAGUACCAGAUGGCUUGAUGGGUUUGGGCUCACAGACGGGGAAGGAAUGGAAAGGCUGUGGUCUUUCCUCCAAAGAUUUGCCAGAGUCACAAAGGAGAUGACUCCAUCUCAUCGCCUUGACCUACUGACUGAUGCCCUUUUGCAUUAUGGACGGUGGAAAUCAACUGACCUAGAGGUGCAGCUCCUGCAAAGAGUAGACAAAGCAGAGAAAAUAUUGAUUCUCGCUCCUCAAGAAGAUAUCUCAUGUCAUCAGAGAGGCACCAGUGUUGAUUUCUGAAGGAGACAUGGAGAGAUGGAAAAAGCUAGCCCAACCGAAACCAAUAAACACUGUCUGUAGAUGGAAAAGGGACUACAUCAUCAGACUGAUUCAGUUCUACAAGUUCAAAUAUGGGACUGGUGAGUCACACAAAAAGGGUGAAACAGAGUAAGCAGUAAUCUGUCUGUUACUGUUCUCUGAUCAAGUGUGUACAUAACGUUUAAUACUAAUUAUUUGCUAACCAUUGUAGAAUUGAGGACUCUGCUGAACAUUGAGGAAAAAAUACAGAAUCUGGAGAAGAUGGCAAGAGUCUGAUUCAAACUUCCAGUCUACCCUUAAAGAUGUGCCUAGAACUGAAUCAAGGGAGAGAGCAGUCCUCCUCCACCUGAGAAGAAUAUAUCCAGCUUUGCUUCAGAUGGGCAGGGCAUUGCCAUUAGAUUCUCCAAGCAGGUAGCCAAUUGAUUUUCAGGAAUCAUGUGAUCCCUCUUGGCAUGUCUACUUCUGCUUUAAUAACACUAUUGAAGAAGAUGAUGUUUCGAGGAGUCUAAAAAGGCGAGGGAUUGAUGCCUUACAUAUGAAGACUCGGGCAGCUGAGGAAAAGUGCAUGCUUUACAAG
Non-coding RNA from Paramisgurnus dabryanus, 2058 nucleotides. Lineage: Eukaryota; Metazoa; Chordata; Actinopteri; Cypriniformes; Cobitidae. The record is from RefSeq and is a predicted model, not a curated record.